CUACGGGGUGCUCCAGUGGGGAAUAUUGCACAAUGGGGGGAACCCUGAUGCAGCAACGCCGCGUGGAGGAUGACACAUUUCGGUGCGUAAACUCCUUUUAUAUAAGAAGAUAAUGACGGUAUUAUAUGAAUAAGCACCGGCUAACUCCGUGCCAGCAGCCGCGGUAAUACGGGGGGUGCAAGCGUUACUCGGAAUCACUGGGCGUAAAGAGCAUGUAGGCGGGUAGAAAAGUUGGAAGUGAAAUCCUAUGGCUUAACCAUAGAACUGCUUCCAAAACUCUUUACCUAGAAUAUGGGAGAGGUAGAUGGAAUUUCUGGUGUAGGGGUAAAAUCCGUAGAGAUCAGAAGGAAUACCGAUUGCGAAGGCGAUCUACUAGAACAUUAUUGACGCUGAGACGCGAAAGCGUGGGGAGCAAACAGGAUUAGAUACCCCUGUAGUC
Molecule: ribosomal RNA, 439 nt
Filed under: uncultured bacterium
Lineage: Bacteria
Description: partial 16S ribosomal RNA
Rfam family: Bacterial small subunit ribosomal RNA
Source: RNAcentral